This 486-nucleotide ribosomal RNA is filed under the name uncultured bacterium. RNAcentral's name for it is "bacterial SSU rRNA". It matches the Rfam family "Bacterial small subunit ribosomal RNA", at positions 31 to 507 of the family's 1533-position model. The record is from RNAcentral.
GAACGCUAGCUACAGGCUUAACNCAUGCAAGUCGAGGGCAGCAUGGUCUUAGCUUGCUAAGGCCGAUGGCGACCGGCGCACGGGUGAGUAACACGUAUCCAACCUGCCGUCUACUCUUGGACAGCCUUCUGAAAGGAAGAUUAAUACAAGAUGGCAUCAUGAGUCCGCAUGUUCACAUGAUUAAAGGUAUUCCGGUAGACGAUGGGGAUGCGUUCCAUUAGAUAGUAGGCGGGGUAACGGCCCACCUAGUCUUCGAUGGAUAGGGGUUCUGAGAGGAAGGUCCCCCACAUUGGAACUGAGACACGGUCCAAACUCCUACGGGAGGCAGCAGUGAGGAAUAUUGGUCAAUGGACGAGAGUCUGAACCAGCCAAGUAGCGUGAAGGAUGAAGGUCCUACGGAUUGUAAACUUCUUUUAUAAGGGAAUAAACCCUCCCACGUGUGGGAGCUUGUAUGUACCUUAUGAAUAAGCAUCGGCUAACUCCGUG